UACGUAGGUGGCAAGCGUUGUCCGGAUUUACUGGGCGUAAAGGGUGUGUAGGCGGAAUUUUAAGUAGAAAGUGAAAGUUUGGAGCUCAACUCCAACACUGCUUCCUAUACUGGAAUUCUUGAGUCCCGGAGAGGAAGAUGGAACGACACGUGUAACGGUGAAAUGUGUUGAUAUGUGUCGGAACACCAAUGGCGAAGGCAGUCUUCUGGAAGGGUACUGACGCUGAGACACGAAAGCCAAGGGAGCGAACAGG
Molecule: ribosomal RNA, 253 nt
Filed under: uncultured bacterium
Lineage: Bacteria
Description: partial 16S ribosomal RNA
Rfam family: Bacterial small subunit ribosomal RNA
Source: RNAcentral